This 301-nucleotide ribosomal RNA is filed under the name uncultured bacterium. RNAcentral's name for it is "bacterial SSU rRNA". It matches the Rfam family "Bacterial small subunit ribosomal RNA", at positions 505 to 805 of the family's 1533-position model. The record is from RNAcentral.
GUGCCAGCAGCCGCGGUAAUACGAAGGGUGCAAGCGUUAAUCGGAAUUACUGGGCGUAAAGCGCGCGUAGGUGGUUCAGUAAGUCGGAUGUGAAAGCCCCGGGCUCAACCUGGGAAUUGCAUUCGAUACUGGUCAGCUAGAGUCUGGUAGAGGUAAGCGGAAUUCCGGGUGUAGCGGUGAAAUGCGUAGAUAUCCGGAGGAACAUCAGUGGCGAAGGCGGCUUACUGGACCAAGACUGACGCUCAUGUACGAAAGCGUGGGUAGCAAACAGGAUUAGAUACCCUGGUAGUCCACGCCCUAA